UAAAAAGUUAAACUCGUAAAAGGCUUUGCCAAACUUAGAAAAUAAAUGAUGUUUUGUGAAUGACAACAUAGUGAAUCCGUGACAUGAGGCCUUGAUGUUUAUAUAUAAAGAAAGCUGCUGGUCCAAGAAAGUGAAUCUGUUGUUUUUCUCAUCAAAUGUUUCAGUCAAGUCAUAAGGUUUAUCUCAGAGGAGUGAAUCUGAGAACACAAAGCUGGUUUGCAGUUCAUAUCAUCAUUUGUUGGUAUUUUGGUGAAUUUACUUUGUGUUCUCAGGUCACCCCUUUGAGCCAACCUGUUGACAUUCACCAAAAGGAAAAUUAAGGACAAUGGAAAGUUAAAAUACAAAUGUAAGCAAUUUUCAACAAGUUCUUCUCUUGAAAAAGAAAAAAAUGCUGGGAAGAAAUUAAGUUGUCUCAAUUCUAAAGCUUAAGUGCUUAAUAAUUGAUGUGGCAAUGUUGGUGGAAGGCAUUUCAAGUACAAAGAAAGCAUAAAGUUGAAGAUGAUUUUUUUCUUUCCUGGUGUAUUGUAAAUGUUUCAUCUCAAAAUAAUAUAAUUUAAAUAAGAUAUGAAUAAUAGGAUUGAGAUAGUAUUUCUAUCAUUCAUUUUUAGUUCAAUAUUAACUAACCAUUUGUGUGAUAUUCAUUGAUAAAGAAAUAUUUUGUAUCAUAAAGGAGGAAAAAAAAGAUACCAAUCUUGUGUACCAAAAUCUUUCUUGCUUUUAGUUUAAGUUAAAUCCUCCUUUAACGUUUAUUCAAAGAUGCUAUAAAUAUAGUCUAUUUGUGUAUAGAAGGAGACCACGU
This 799-nucleotide small RNA is filed under the name Vigna angularis var. angularis. RNAcentral's name for it is "Non-protein coding transcript". The stretch from base 177 to 292 matches the Rfam family "MIR398 microRNA precursor family". Lineage: Eukaryota; Viridiplantae; Streptophyta; Magnoliopsida; Fabales; Fabaceae. The record is from RNAcentral.